RNAcentral lists this non-coding RNA (28 nucleotides) under Homo sapiens (human). Lineage: Eukaryota; Metazoa; Chordata; Mammalia; Primates; Hominidae. The record is from RNAcentral.
UCCUAUGAGAAUCUAAUGCCUUUGCUGA